AAGAAAAUGACAGAGCGAUUAUGUAGUUGACUUGAGAUCACCCUACGGAGGUUCAAUUCCUUCUUUUCUUG
Molecule: transfer RNA, 71 nt
Rfam family: tRNA
About the family: Transfer RNA (tRNA) molecules are approximately 80 nucleotides in length.